UUUGAUCCUGGCUCAGGAUGAACGUUGGCGGUGUGCCUAAUACAUGCAAGUCGAACGGUGACUAUUUUGUGGCAAUACGAAUGAAAUCAUAGUGGCGAACGGGUGAGUAACGCGUUGGUGAUCUGCCUCGAAGUGUGGAAUAACUUCCCGAAAGGGUAGCUAAUACCGCAUAGUCUCUCAAGGUUUAAAAAAUUGAGAGUAAAGGAUUUAUUCGCUUCGAGAGGAGCCUGCGUCCCAUCAGCUAGUUGGUAGGGUAAUAGCCUACCAAGGCAAUGACGGGUAGGGGACCUGAGAGGGUGGCCCCCCACAAUGGAACUGAAACACGGUCCAUACACCUACGGGUGGCAGCAGUAGGGAAUAUUAGAAAAUGGGCGAAAGCCUGAUCUAGCAACACCGCGUGUGCGAUGAAGGCCUUCGGGUUGUAAAGCACUUUUUGGAGGGAAUAGGAAGGAAGGUACCUCCAGAAUAAGUCUCGGCUAACUACGUGCCAGCAGCCGCGGUAACACGUAGGAGGCAAACGUUAUCCGGAUUCACUGGGCGUAAAGCGCGUGUAGGUGGUUCUGUAAGUAGGGCGUGAAAGCUCCCGGCUCAACUGGGAGAGGCCGUACUAAACUGCAGAGCUAGAGGAUGGUAGAGGGAGGUGGAAUUCCAGGUGUAGUGGUGAAAUGCGCAGAUAUCUGGAGGAACACCAGUGGCGAAGGCGGCCUCCUGGACCAUUCCUGACACUCAGACGCGAAAGCUAGGGUAGCAAACGGAAUUAGAGACUCCGGUAGUCCUAGCCCUAAACGAUGCAGACUAGGCGUCGGCGGUUUAAUCACCGUCGGUGUCCAAGCUAACGCGAUAAGUCUGCCGCCUGAGGACUACGGCCGCAAGGCUAAAACUCAAAGGAAUUGACGGGUCCCCGCACAAGCAGCGGAGCGUGUGGUUUAAUUCGAUGCUCCGCGAAGAACCUUACCUGGGUUUGACAUAACAGUGGUAGAGAAGUGAAAACGGAUCGACCCUUCGGGGAGCUGUUACAGGUGUUGCAUGCCUGUCGUCAGCUCGUGUCGUGAGAUGUUCGGUUAAGUCCGCUAACGAGCGCAACCCGCGCUGUGUGUUACAAGUGUCACACAGUACCGCCGGUAUUAAGUCGGAGGAAGGUGCGGAUGACGUCAAGUCAGCAUGACCUUUAUAUCCAGGGCUACACACACGCUACAAUGGUCAGAACAAUAGGUUGCCAAGCCGCAAGGCGGAGCCAAUCCUCCAAAUCUGGCCUCAGUUCAGAUUGCAGGCUGCAACUCGCCUGCAUGAAGUCGGAGUUGCUAGUAACCGCAGGUCAGCAUACUGCGGUGAAUACGUUCCCGGGGAUUGUACACACCGCCCGUCAAG
Molecule: ribosomal RNA, 1368 nt
Filed under: uncultured bacterium
Lineage: Bacteria
Description: bacterial SSU rRNA
Rfam family: Bacterial small subunit ribosomal RNA
Source: RNAcentral